This 76-nucleotide transfer RNA is filed under the name Achromobacter anxifer. Its description in RNAcentral is "tRNA-Gly". It matches the Rfam family "tRNA". From Rfam's summary of the family: Transfer RNA (tRNA) molecules are approximately 80 nucleotides in length. Lineage: Bacteria; Pseudomonadati; Pseudomonadota; Betaproteobacteria; Burkholderiales; Alcaligenaceae. The record is from RNAcentral.
GCGGGGUUAGCUCAGUUGGUAGAGCGACAGCGUGCCAUGUUGUAGGCCACGAGUUCGAAUCUCGUACCCCGCCCCA